AGAGUUUGAUCAUGGCUCAGAUUAAACGCUGGCGGCAUGCCUUACACAUGCAAGUCGAACGGCAGCGGACCUUCGGGUGCCGGCGAGUGGCGAACGGGUGAGUAAAGUAUCGGAACGUACCUUCAUGGGGGAUAACGUAGCGAAAGUUACGCUAAUACCGCAUAUUCUCUGAGGAGGAAAGCAGGGGACCUUCGGGCCUGGCGCGAGGAGAGGGUCCUGCGUCUGAUUAGCUAGUUGUGGGGUAACGGCCUACCAAGGCAUCGAUCAGUAGCCGGCCUGAGAGGGUGAUCGGCCACACUGGAACUGAGACACGGUCCAGACUCCUACGGGAGGCAGCAGUGGGGAAUUUUGCGCAAUGGACGAAAGUCUGACGCAGCAACGCCGCGUGGGUGAUGAAGGUCUUCGGAUUGUAAAACCCUGUCGUCGGGGACGAAGGUAGGGGGGUUAAUAGCCCUUUUGCUUGACGGUACCCGGAGAGGAAGCCCCGGCUAACUCUGUG
Molecule: ribosomal RNA, 499 nt
Filed under: uncultured bacterium
Lineage: Bacteria
Description: bacterial SSU rRNA
Rfam family: Bacterial small subunit ribosomal RNA
Source: RNAcentral